GGAUAUGAGGGCGAUCUGGUUGUGACAUCUGUCACCCCAUUGAUCCCCAGGGCUUAUUUGGCUGAUCUGGUUGGCUAGGUGGGUGUCCCCUUUCUCCCUCUCUGCUCCAUGGGCAUUCCCCAGAAGCUGCGCACUGGAUCAAAGAGGAUGACCUUCCUCACAUAGAGGGGCCCGGUCUUUGGUCAGGGGAGGACAUAUAGCUGCACUCUCCUGCUGGAACCUCCAAAUGACCUCUCAAGCUGGCCUUGAACUGAUCUUCCUGCCUCUGCCUUCCAACGUCUAGGAUUACAGGUGUGUGCCACCACACUCAGCUUGUUAGUUUGACCAACUGU
Molecule: small nuclear RNA, 332 nt
Filed under: Jaculus jaculus (lesser Egyptian jerboa)
Lineage: Eukaryota; Metazoa; Chordata; Mammalia; Rodentia; Dipodidae
Description: 7SK RNA (ENSJJAG00000009386.1)
Rfam family: 7SK RNA
About the family: 7SK was discovered as an abundant small nuclear RNA in the mid-70s but a possible function has only recently been suggested. Two independent studies have found that 7SK RNA binds the CDK9/cyclin T complex (known as elongation factor P-TEFb).
Source: Rfam by way of RNAcentral